Ochotona curzoniae (black-lipped pika) is the source of this 577-nucleotide long non-coding RNA. RefSeq lists it as uncharacterized. The record is from RefSeq and is a predicted model, not a curated record. Lineage: Eukaryota; Metazoa; Chordata; Mammalia; Lagomorpha; Ochotonidae. The transcript is spliced from 4 exons.
GACACCCGAGGCCUCUGCCUGUGUCACGGCCCGGAAUCUGCCAGCGGAGACAGGCCCACGGCGGCUCGGUCAGGGACAACGGUAGCAGGGGUGAACUCGGUGGAUGAAAAUGGAAACAAAAGAAAGCUGAUUCUGUAGGAAGGUGUGAGUAAAGGAGUAGAAUUCAAAUACAAUCUAUUCCUGUGCAUGUUGGGCAUUAUAGCAGGUAUAUAUGUGUUAUCAAGGAGUCUGCACUUCAUAGUCACUGAAAGACAUAGCUGUUAGGACAGCCAACUUUAUAUUGCUAACUGUGAAAAGUCCAGAAAGUCUCUACCUCCACUUUUGCUAAAAAUUUAUUACCUCAACUCAUCCUAUGGCUACACCAAAUCACAACGGAGGAACAGCAAUACAACCGUGUGCCAGUAGAACAACUGGAAAGAUAACACAGGAGCAAGCGAAGGUGCAGAGGCCAACGCGGAGGGUGCUCGUACCCAUCCAUGAUCAUGGCGUCCAGGGUGGUUUCUCCGCGUUCAUCGGGACUUCCUCCAAAGCCCACAGUGCCAUCACACUGUUCCUUCUCGCACUCACCACAGCCGCU